AAGAAAAGAGAGAACGUCUAAGAGAUAAGGUAGAAUAAAAAAAAAUAUUCGAUUAACAGAACGGAUAAUGAUAACACGUUCCAUUUUGAUCGAUAACGAUCGUUCGAUUGCGAAUAUUUCGAAUGUUAAAGUUAAAAAUUAUAUCAUGCACGAGGGGGAGGGGAGAAUGUUUAAUUUCGAUCAUCGAAACAAAGAUUCUUACACCGAUAUGGAAAAUAUAAUACAAAACGUGUAUUUCAUGGCUCACCCAGUAUACACAGCAUCGCAGGUAAUGAAAAUCCUAUUAGCAGCGGAACGUGUUAAGUAUUUAACAAAGUCUUUCUCACUCGAGAAUUCCUCGGCGGCGUCUAGGUCGAUUCGUUUCUCGGUCGAUCGACGGUGCACCACCCCACCCCGUGUUUCCCCAUCGAACGAACGUGUUUUCAACGUGAGCAACAGGUCCUAACCAUCGAAAUUCUCCGGCAUACGACGAAUUCUCGGGCUCGUUCGCGCGAAAAUCAAGCCACGUUAACAGUUUCGUCACCGAUCGCGGCACCAACUGUGCCGCGUUUUCAGGAUUUUCAUUCGAUCGACGACCAACAGGUACACGCGCACGUUUGUAGGUAUACACGGACGUGGUACACGUACAAACGCGCGAGAGUUCGUUUUCAGUCGCGAACAAAGAACGACCGUGUUGUGUUUGGACGAACAGCGAAGGCGUUUCGUGGAAUAUUUUUGCUCUCAGAACAAUGCGUAUGAUUCCGAGCAAUUUCACGCGUGACUUUUAUUUUUUCUUUUCUCUUUUGUUUUUCUUUUUUCUUUUUUUUUGUGCGCGCGCGCGUGUGCGUUCGACUGUUUUCGAUCGGAUUUUCGAGAGGAAUUGUAGUUUUUCGGAAUUUCGUGACGCGUAAAAUAGUCGAUUACGCGUGGUAAAAAAGUUUGUAAGGGAAAUUUGAUUGUAGAGAAAAUUAUAUUAAAUUUAAAAGAGAAAAAAAUUUAACCUUAAAUUUUGGUAUUAAUUUUUCGAAAAAAAAAGUUUUAACACGAUUAGAUACGUAUUUAGUAUGAUACGCGAUAACAGAGGAAAUUUAAUAUUUUAGAAAAAUUGGUGUAUGGUCGAAAAAAAGAUGAAUGAUUUUGUAGAGAGAGGUUAUGAUAUAUAUUUAUCAAGAAAUAAAAAGUACGAGCAAGUAAAUUUGUAUCAAAUGCUAAAGUCUCAUUGAAAAUAAAAUUUUUUAUCAUUUUUAAAUAAUAGUGUGCUCUAACAUACGUCGUACAUUCGACGUGUCUCGCAAAAUUUCAUGCAUCUCGUUCAUUUCAUCUUAUUAUUUAAAAUACGAUGUAUAUAUUUUAAUUUCAUAUCAUUUACUAGUAUCUUUAUAUAUAAUUACCAAAAUUUAAAACUAUGAGAAUAAAAUGUAAUAAAAAGAAAACACUUAAUCAUAAAAUAUGUACUUUUUAACAAUUCUAACCUUAUUCAUCCUUAAAUGUCAAGAAUCAAACAAUUAAAAAAAACACCAAACACAAUUCUUAUGAAAUUUCCACUCUCAUUUCUCUUCAUUCUUCAGUCAACAAAAAUCAAGAAGAAAAAAGAAUAAAUGGAUAAAAAUAAAACACUACUAAAAUGUGAUGAAACGUGACGAAGAAAUGCGACAGUCGAGUGUCAAUUAAAACCUCAUGGCCGAUGAAUACGAGCCGUAUCUCGAUCAUGCACACGCUCGAUUAUCGAUUCUCGCUGUCUCGCGUGGAUAAAGAUUUCUCUCGCGUCCGAAGGCGAGUUUACUCGCAACAAGUUCCAUCGAGAAUUUCUCGUUGAAGAAAUUUUUUGGCGAGACUAUGUCGAGUCAACCGUGAAAUUGCUUACUUCGCUUCGAUAGUCGAACUCGGGUAACAAUCGAUAUGUACGCGUAUCGAGAUUUGGACGAUCAGUGUUACUCGUUGAAACGGUACUGCGUAGUAUAUGGUGACACGUAAAGUGAGAAAAAAAUUCUAUUUGUAGUUAAGUGAACGAAUAGUUUAUCAGUGAGGGAUUAUUAAUCGAGUUGAAAUGCAAAAUAAUUGUAUCUACGAAACGAGAAAACAUCGAGAUUGUGCCAUCUGAGCCGAUGGAUGCAACUGCACCGCGAACAAGAAGGUUUCUACCUUCGUAUCAGAUGCACACCAGAUCUCUACAAUUCCGUUACCGACGGAUGCUCGCGCUUUACUAUAGUCGGUUUAAUUGAAAAUAUCAUCGAUUUUCACCAUAACGCAUAUUGUUAUUUCCCCGUGUAUUAUUAACCCUUUGAGGGCGAUGAACCCGUAUGUACGGGUUAACAAGAGCCGAAGAGAAUACCUGUGUACGCGUGUGUCUGGGAAAAAUAAUUGAUACAGUGCUACAGUGUACGUUUAAAGAAAAUAAAAACUAAAAAUGUAUAUAAAUGUAGAUAUGUAAAAAAAAAAGAAAAAAAAAAAGGUAAAGUAAAAUACUAAUUUGAUCUCUGUGAAAUUUCUAUCGCAUGCCUUAUCCGUUCAUCUAACCUCUGGAUAAAACGUUUAUAUCCAUUAUCAUGGAAAUUUUUCACGUUACAUUUGCCACGACUUCUUCUUCGAGAGAUAUCUAGAUACCUGGUGAAAAAUUUUUCCCCAACCGAGCUUUUAAUUGCAAACCUCGUACAAUUUAUCGAAGAUGUAUUCUUUCCACGCGGCGCGACCUCUCGCCAAUUUAAUCUCGAGCCUCGAUUCAAACACACACGAUCCCGACCACGCGCGGAAUUUUUCUCACUUUUUAACGGAAAAACUUUUCCUUCCCCUCCCCGGUGGCGAGUCGCCCGUACAUAUUUUUCCAAGAAACAAGAAAUAUCGUCCCGAUUUUCCACGACCCGCCCUACUUCCGCCUCGAGAACGCGAUUCCUCGUCAAUUCACCCUUGCAGCUGCAACUCGACAACAAUCCCAAAGGCGUAUUCGAUUUUUCCACGAACCGUGUUCCCCGUUCCUUUUCUCCGAACCCUUAAAUCUUUCUCGUCAAUUCUAAUUUUCCGUCCAAGGGUUUAACACUUUCUCUUUUUCCCACCUUUCCUUUCCUCUAUCGAUCCGUUCUUCGACGAGUACGUUCCAUUUCUAAUUUAUUCUCUAUACGCUAAGAAUGGAAUUACUCUUCGUUUCUCAAAAAUUGUCCAAUCGAUACGUAAGAAUCUAAUUUUAAAAAUUAUUAACAAUUUCCUAAAACGAACGAACGGAUGGAUAAAUUCGCGUACGUGGAGUCACAGAGUGGUUAAACCCAAUUAUCCUCCAAUUUCAACGUUUCGAGCUCGAAACGACGAGAUUUCAGGCGUCCUCCUCCGCUCGCCCUAAUCCGUCCCUCCUUUCGUAUUCCCCUCCCUCGUAUCGAGGAGUAACGCGUCCCGAUUUUCCGCGAGGCGGCCCGCUAAACGGAGCCUCUCGGCAAUUUGCCGGCACGCCGCACAACUCGCCGGCCCCGAGAGCGCAAUCGAUUACCGUGGUCGAAACUCGCGGCCGCCCGAUACCGGAUACAAUAACCCGGCCGCCGCGCAAUAGCAGCCGCGCGCGCUCCUUUAGGUGGCAGAAACCGGGUUCGUGUUCUCGGGACACGGCGGCUUAAAGCGGCACACAAGUCACGUACCGGCAUGGGACCACCGAGUAUUAUGGCGCGUCCUCUACCCUGAACCGUUUCCCCCUCCACUCGCGCGCUCGCUCUCUCGCUCUCUCGCUCGCUCUCUCUGUCCGUUCGCCUCGUUCCAGCGUGUACACCUUCUUCUGCCUUGCCUGGCUACCUCUCUUCGUCGACCUUCCCUCCCUCCGUCUUCGUCCCACCCGCAGUCGUAUACGUAUUACGCGCAGCGUAUAUAAUGUGGGUGCCGGUUGCACAGCGAGGCAGCCCGGUGUCACGCUACGUGCUUCCUGCCCGCAGGCCAUGGUGUGACAAAAGGCCUUAUGUCCGCCCGCUCGUGGAACACUCGUGAUCGCAAUGUGUAAUCAAGCUCGCAUGGCCACUGUAUUACCACGUACACCUCUACCGUGGCCCGCGGCCAUCCAAGCGCCUCUAUAUACAGGCGCGCACACGAGCCAUACGCAACCAGCCAGCCAGCCAACCAACCACGCACGCAUGCACGCCGCACGCACGCACGCACGCACGCACGCACGCACGCACGCGAGUAACGCGCCGCUUUUGGCUGGCCGUUUCCCGCGCAGGACGCGACCCGACCCUCCCCCUCCUUUCCACGAUCGGUUUCGCAAGCCGGACAGAGAGGCAGACAGGCGGAGAGGGAGAAGGAGAGAUAUCCCAGCGGCGCCCACUUUUCUGCUCGAUUCGUCGCGCCAUCGUGCCCCAACCACCGGACCCGUGCGCUCUUUCGGAACCGAUAGUCUCUCUCUCUCUCUCUCUCUCCCCCCCCCCCUCUCUCUCCCCGGGGAAUUUUUUUUGCCGCGUCUUUUUCUCGCUUUCCUUUUUUUCCACCUUCUCGCUUCGCUUUUUCUUUGCUUCCGUCGUGUUUGGUGCUUGGAUAAUUUUGGAUAGAGUUUAAGAUUGGACUCGGUUUGAUAAAGAUAAAUAUCGAAACGCGAUUCCAGACGAGUGGGAGACGACGCUUUCGAGGAUAAAUUUAAAGACUGGUAUUUAACGCCUGUUGCGUUAAUUUUGUCUGUUCCCAUUGUGUUUUUUUUAGAAUCAAAAAAAGAAAAAAUAUAUAUAUUCGAAACUUGUCGUCACGAAUUCUUAAAAUCUUCCAGCCUAUUUGUUAUUAUUGUAUCGUCACGCGAGGCUAAUUUUUUUACUCGUUCGCCUGGAUUUUCGGGGAGUCCCCCCCGUUUUUCGUUUUUCCACGGAACAAGGGUGCAAAAGCGGGCCGAAGCGGAAAGUUAAGGGCGGAAAAGGGCAAUCCUGCCGGGUCCCCGGUAUACGUUGCACUUUUGGCAGUUUCCGAGCCGUGUCGGGAUGCAGUCUGCCGCGAGUAACGUGUUUACCUAGACUAUUGAUCGAAGGGGGCGAGAGAUCCGUGUUCGGGCAGAGGUGUGCGGCUUCUGGAAAACUUCGAGGGUGGAGAGGGUCGAGAAUUUUUGUCGAGUUCCUCGUCGAGGGGUGAGGGGAAGAGGAGGGGGAGGAGGGGGAGGAGGAGGGAGGGGGGAUGGGAUAUUCGAGAGCCAGCGGGAUAGCCGAGCGUAUCCGUGCGUCAGGGAAACUUUCGAGACCUCGACUCGACAACUCGACGGGGACACUCGUUGCGCCGCGCUUUGAUAUUUUUCCUGCCUCGAUUGGAAUUUUUUUGCGCGACUCGAUUCUCCGCGUUUCUUCGCUUUUUUGUUCUCUCUCUCUCUCUCUCCCUCUCCUCGUGUUUCAUUUUACGGGAGAUUCUCGCGUCGAAAUUGAACGAUGCGGACGAAAUGUUUCUCGAGAUAAAUUGCGCGAUAUCGAUGAUCCUUUUAUUCGAGAUUUUUUUUUUUCUUUUUACGAUCCUGAUGAUUUUGUAACACAAUUGUAUCGAGCAAUCGUUAAUUCGUAUUUACAUGCACGUGUUGUUAAUGUUUAAAAAAAAAUAUUUAGAAAAGCGAGAUGUAUCUUUGUACUCGACACUCGUCACGAUUUAUACUUAGAUUCUGGAUAAAAUUUCCAGCGGUUUAAUCGCAAUUUUGCCUCUUUUCUCCUUUACAUGCUUUUUAACUCGAUCAUCCUAAUUUAAUUAGAUCCAAAUUUUAAUCUAUUUCGUAACGUGAAGUAAACAGGGAACGUAAAACCACGAUUAUCUUCCACGAUUUGACAACCAUUUUAAACACGUUGCGUUCGUAGCAACGUUUCGAUCCAACACGACGAGCAAAAAUGGAAGAAAAAAAAAGAAAAAAAUAAAAUAAUCAG
Molecule: long non-coding RNA, 5825 nt
Organism: Apis mellifera (honey bee)
Lineage: Eukaryota; Metazoa; Arthropoda; Insecta; Hymenoptera; Apidae
Exons: 3
Source: RefSeq, a predicted model, not a curated record